RNAcentral lists this ribosomal RNA (484 nucleotides) under uncultured bacterium. Its description in RNAcentral is "partial 16S ribosomal RNA". It matches the Rfam family "Bacterial small subunit ribosomal RNA", at positions 30 to 507 of the family's 1533-position model. The record is from RNAcentral.
AUUGAACGCUGGCGGCAGGCCUAACACAUGCAAGUCGAGCGGAUGAAGGGAGCUUGCUCCUGGAUUCAGCGGCGGACGGGUGAGUAAUGCCUAGGAAUCUGCCUGGUAGUGGGGGAUAACGUCCGGAAACGGGCGCUAAUACCGCAUACGUCCUGAGGGAGAAAGUGGGGGAUCUUCGGACCUCACGCUAUCAGAUGAGCCUAGGUCGGAUUAGCUAGUUGGUGGGGUAAAGGCCUACCAAGGCGACGAUCCGUAACUGGUCUGAGAGGAUGAUCAGUCACACUGGAACUGAGACACGGUCCCGACUCCUACGGGAGGCAGCAGUGGGGAAUAUUGGACGAUGGGCGAAAGCCUGAUCCAGCCAUGCCGCGUGCGUGAAGAAGGUCUUCGGAUUGUAAAGCACUUUAAGUUGGGAGGAAGGGCAGUAAGUUAAUACCUUGCUGUUUUGACGUUACCAACAGAAUAAGCACCGGCUAACUUCGUG